AUGAUUGGACCUACAACAUUGCAAAUCUAAGAUACAUACUUUUCAAAUUUUUCGCCAUGGAUAUAUAAAUGGUCUGAGUUAUGUUUUUGUUUAAUUCCAGGAAACAUUAGCUCUGCAAAAAUCAGUGCAAGAAAGGAGGAAACAAACUUCUGCCUCUAAUAAAUUCGAAAAAUUACAAGCUUGGAUUACAAACGAGCUAGAUAUCAUCACUGGCAUUUUGCAGACGGAAAAAACCCUGGAGCAAUUAGUAGAAGACAAGGCGUCUACUGAGAAACUCUUGGAUAUGCUUAAAGUUACGCUGAAUGACUCUAACAUGUCGAAAGAAGAUCGUCAUAACAUUUUGGUUGCAAUCCAACGAAAUGAAGAAGAACAUGAGCUCCGUACUGCUCAGAUAACAGAUCUGAAGCAAAAAGUUGCUGAAUCCAAUCAGGAUAUCAAGAUCAAAGCCAAGUUCGACUCUGUAUCAUCCUUGUUCGAUGCUAAAGCGUCUUUGAAGCAUUUGUUUGAUAUUUGUGUAGAACUUAAAAAGGACAUAAUAAGCAAGGAUUUCCAAUUGCAAGAACUGCGAGUAAGUAAAAUGUCAUUACCUCUCUCAACUUUCGAAUAAUCUAUAGUUGUAUUGCAUUACAUUACUUUACAGCACAAUAUGGUGUCCCAACAGGUUUUUAAUUUGAAACUGUAAACAAGUAAACCUAUAUAACGUAAUUUACACAGUCAUCUUUUAACUCCGGCGUUAAAGAAACUGAAGCUCUGAGUAAUAUUCUUUUAGGCUGAUAUAUGUUUCAAGUCUUAUUUCGACUGAUAUCAGUGUUUUUAAUUUCAUAUUGUAAGACAUUGUGGAUUAUUUGGGUCAUUUUAAGCUCUUGAUUCAAAGAGUUGCCUUUAUUUGGCACAAUUAUUUUUUUAUUCAUCCUAUUUCGUUACACUAUUAUGAAUACAGGGCUCCUGGCGGUAUGAAAAACAGAGAAAAUCAGGGGAUUCAGGAGAAAAGUUAGGAAAUCUCUGACACAUCUACUUUUUUUGUUUAUUUCUCCCUGAAAUUUACAUCAAUACAAGAGACUCUUCACCAUGAAAAUAGAGGUGUAGAGGGAUUACACUAAGAAGACAAUAUAGUACUGUAAGCAGGAAAAAAAGGAGGUUAUUCGAGAGAAAACAACGACCUAAUAAAGAUUAGGCCAGGAAGGAUCGAGGUUGGUGACUCUGGAAUUUGCCUGUUGGCAUCCAUCAGAUUGACGCAUCUACUAAUCACUUAUAAAACGUUCAGAAGACCCUCGGGAAAAGUCAGGAAAUCUCUGACACUUCUAUAAAUCUGAUCUUUCAACUGUUUACUCUCUCUGGUCAUUUUUAAGGCUUGUCAUCUUUUAACCAGCUGUUGAAUGCCUUUUUCCAUAGUUUGAUCCCAAACAAGGAAAUUCCUAAGUUAAGCGAAAGUCAGCAUUUUUGAAAAGGAAAAGGUGGAAAUUUUGUUCAAAGGUCAAGGAAAGACAGAGAAUUGGACAAUUUUGGAGUCAAGGAAGAGCAAAAUAGGGAAUCAGAAGGAGAAAAAAUUAAAGCAGCCCUUCAUUGCUACUAAUCUACCCACAAAAUUCUCUAUCCUCUCUGAUUACAACAAGCUAUGCAAAUAAAAAUUGUUAGCGUGUGGUUCAGUGGCGUGGCAUGCUUUGCAAUAAAUCGAUUGAUCUGUCAUUUAAACCUAUGGAAAAAGAUUGAUAAAGAGGGUGUUCGCAACAAACACCUUGAUAAUUGAUUCUUUACUAUAGCUUCAAAGGGGGAAAUACUGAUAAUCGAUCAUUCACGCUUCGCCACUGGUAAGUUCACAACUCCUACAGAGAAUGAUUUUGUUGUUUCAGGACUCAAUAGUGGAAUACCAGAAUAAAUCGAGACUUUGGAAAAGGAACUGACGGAAGUGGACACCAAUACAGAGGCUCAGAAAACUGCCCUAGAAAAAGAAUACGCAGAAAAGGUAUUUCCUAUUUUAAAUUAAGAUAAAUAAAUUAAUCAUCCCUGUGGAUGUGUCCUUUGGGUAAGAGACCCCAAAAGUUGGUUUGAAGGU
This 2053-nucleotide long non-coding RNA is filed under the name Bemisia tabaci. RNAcentral describes it as "lncRNA ENSSSA2NGG010942". Lineage: Eukaryota; Metazoa; Arthropoda; Insecta; Hemiptera; Aleyrodidae. The record is from RNAcentral.